Long non-coding RNA from Cyprinus carpio (common carp), 2026 nucleotides. NCBI's taxonomy places the organism in Eukaryota, Metazoa, Chordata, Actinopteri, Cypriniformes, Cyprinidae. The record is from Ensembl.
AUAACUAUGGAAAUUCAUUAUCAAUUAGCUUUUUACUAUUUUCACAAGUAACUGUUCAAUUUUCAAAACCCGUAGUACUAAUAUCACAACAGAUCAUCAAAAGUGCAUUUUUCCCCAAACAUUUCAGCAUAAUUUCAAUUGUUUUAGUACACACAAUCACAAAGUAUCCUUUUCACUACACAAAACAAGUGUUGCAUCUAUAUAAAUGUUUCAUUCACAGUAAAUGCUUUUCAUAAAGCUUUUACUAUCAAACUUUUAAUUUGCAUGUCUUCUGAUUCAGUUUAAUACAUUUGUCUAUUAUUUAAUCAAACUCAUCUUAAUGGUUGAUCAGUGAAUCAUUUGGUGCAUCUAUAGAUAUCAAUAGAUUCAGUAGAUAUAGUUUCUAAAGAACUUGUUUACCUGGAUAACCAAAUAUAAUGAAUUAUUUUUACACUAUGAGUCAUUUAUCUUAGAGGAUGUCCUUAUUAGUAAAACUGUGUGUUUUGCAAUUUGUGAACAUACAGCAGGAUACAAGGGUAGAGGAAUUGAUCAGAGAUGUAUCAGAAGAAGGGAGACAGAUGGCAUCAAAUAAAAAGAACUGUAAUAAUAAAAAAUCUCACAUUUUUCAUCCAUAUAGAAAUGCAGCAUCAAGAUUUUGAAUCGCAAAGCAGAGAAGAAACGAACCCGACACAAAGAGUGACAUCUUUCAUUCGCCUGACAGUUAAAAAUGAUGUCAAUUUCACGAAAGACGGAUUUGUGCCAUGGAUGGAUACACCAGAGUAUUCGUCACCAAGCCAUACCAGAUACUUCAUCUUAGAAGAAGAUAAUGAAUCUCUGAAAGUCCUUCAUGACGGAACAUACAAGGUUUCUUUGCAGAUUACGUACAGAAAAUUAAGUGAAAAGCCAGAAAAAGAUGAAAUAUUUCUGCAACAUGAUAUUCGUCUUGAUACUGAUGGAUAUCCUCAUCCCCUGCCCCUGCUCACCCACUGCGAAACAGUGAACAUUACACACUGGAGGAAAAGUCUGUUUUCUGAAGGUAUUUUUUACUUCAAUUCUGGGGACAGACUCAAGGUGUGGUCCAAUAAUCUGAUCCUCAUUGAUGUUGGAGAAAAAUUUGUGCAAAAAACAGUGUUUGUGGUGUAUCCUCAUUUUACCCCGUGAGGAUACAGCGAAUACAAAAAACAUAAAGACAAUUACUUCUGUAGCUUUGAUUAAUGAUCAAAAGGGCUGCCAUGAAGUAUCAUAUUCAUCUGUCUGGGAUGACCCUGUCAUCUAAACCGAUUCUCCUGUCUGCAAAAUCUGAUCUAUUUAUGCUAUAAUCAGUAGCAUGGUCAUGUACAGAAGAAAACCCUUACCAAAAAAUACUGUGGUACAUUAAUGGUGUCAAAUGGUAAUACUAGAGUACUUUGAUGGAAACUAUGCUGGUGAAAUUCAUUCCCUCUAGUGUCGUUUUCAAGAAUAUCAUGGUAUUUCCAUGCUAUGUGUUAAACAACUUGCAAUACCAUAGUAUUUUUUUGGUAUUUUCUUUUGUAAGAGAAGACUAUUCUGCUUCACAGCUAGGGACAAAACAGACAUUGGCUUGGGUUUUAAAAGCUACAUUUUGUUUAAGCACUACAACUGUGGAAAAAUUGUAAUUUUGUAAGUAAGUUUUAUUUUUGUUUCAUUUUGAUUGAAAUUGGUUAAAAAAAAAGGCUGAACCGUACUAUAUGCUAUAAUGUUUAUGCCAUUGUAAACAUAUAUGCUUGUGUAUGUAAUUAUUGAUCAAGGAUUUGGGCUGUUAAUGCAAAAUUUACAGGUUCGGUAACAUUACGAAGUGAAGAGAAUUAUCAAUACUCAAAAUCCUGUAUUGUGGUGCAUCAUGGGUUCUGUCAUUGGCAUUAGUAAGCUAUAAGUUACUUUGUAUUAAAAGGGAUUGCAAUCACAAAAUAUGACCUUAGUAAUAAUUUGCAUGAAAGAUCAUUUUAUGUAUUGGAAUACAUCUUCAUAAUUACAUUAUUUUGUUGAGCAUGAUCAAUAAAUACUAUUACAUAAAGCUGUCUUUGUCUCA